UACAGAGGAUGCAAGCGUUAUCCGGAAUGAUUGGGCGUAAAGCGCACGUAAACGGUUCGUUAUGUCGAAUGUGAAAACCCUUGGCUUAACCGAGGAAGUGCAUCCGAAACUGGCGAGCUAGAGUACUAAAGAGGAUCGCGGAAUUCCCGGUGUAGAGGUGAAAUUCGUAGAUAUCGGGAGGAACACCGGUGGCGAAGGCGGCGAUCUGGGUAGAUACUGACGCUGAGGUGCGAAAACGUGGGGAGCAAACAGG
This 253-nucleotide ribosomal RNA is filed under the name uncultured bacterium. Its description in RNAcentral is "partial 16S ribosomal RNA". It matches the Rfam family "Bacterial small subunit ribosomal RNA", at positions 524 to 776 of the family's 1533-position model. The record is from RNAcentral.